CUAUACAGGAGGAUAACCCGUCGAAAGACGGACUAAUACUGCGUAUGCUCACAGCUUGGCAUCAAGUGGUGAGGAAAGAAAUUCGGUAUAGGAUAGGCAUGCGUCCCAUUAGCUUGUUGGUGAGGUAACGGCUCACCAAGGCGACGAUGGGUAGGGGAACUGAGAGGUUUAUCCCCCACACUGGUACUGAGACACGGACCAGACUCCUACGGGAGGCAGCAGUGAGGAAUAUUGGUCAAUGGGCGAGAGCCUGAACCAGCCAAGUCGCGUGAAGGAUGACUGUCUUAUGGAUUGUAGACUUCUUUUAUACGGGAAUAACAAGAGUCACGUGUGACUCCCUGCAUGUACCGUAUGAAUAAGCAUCGGCUAACUCCGUGCCAGCAGCCGCGGUAAUACGGAGGAUGCGAGCGUUAUCCGGAUUUAUUGGGUUUAAAGGGUGCGUAGGCGGUUUGUUAAGUCAGCGGUGAAAUCUAGAGGCUCAACCUCGAAACUGCCGUUGAAACUGGCGAACUUGAGUGUAGAUGAGGUAGGCGGAAUUCGUGGUGUAGCGGUGAAAUGCAUAGAUAUCACGAGGAACUCCCGAUUGCGAAGGCAGCUUACUAAGGUACAACUGACGCUGAAGCACGAAAGCGUGGGUAUCAAACAGGAUUAGAUACCCUGGUAGUCCACGCAGUAAACGAUGAUAACUGGGCGUAUGCGAUAUACAGUAUGCUCCUAAGCGAAAGCGUUAAGUUAUCCACCUGGGGAGUACGCCGGCAACGGUGAAACUCAAAGGAAUUGACGGGGGCCCGCACAAGCGGAGGAACAUGUGGUUUAAUUCGAUGAUACGCGAGGAACCUUACCCGGGAUUGAAAUGUAGAUGACAGGCGGUGAAAGCUGCUCUCCCUUCGGGGCAUCUAUGUAGGUGCUGCAUGGUUGUCGUCAGCUCGUGCCGUGAGGUGUCGGCUUAAGUGCCAUAACGAGCGCAACCCCUGUCUACGGUUGCCAUCAGGUAAUGCUGGGAACUCCGUAGAGACUGCCGUCGUAAGGCGUGAGGAAGGUGGGGAUGACGUCAAAUCAGCACGGCCCUUACAUCCGGGGCGACACACGUGUUACAAUGGUAUGGACAGAGGGCAGCCACUUGGCGACAAGGAGCAAAUCCCUAAACCGUAUCACAGUUCGGAUUGGAGUCUGCAACUCGACUCCAUGAAGCUGGAUUCG
RNAcentral lists this ribosomal RNA (1200 nucleotides) under uncultured bacterium. Its description in RNAcentral is "bacterial SSU rRNA". It matches the Rfam family "Bacterial small subunit ribosomal RNA", at positions 131 to 1334 of the family's 1533-position model. The record is from RNAcentral.